Molecule: ribosomal RNA, 496 nt
Filed under: uncultured bacterium
Lineage: Bacteria
Description: bacterial SSU rRNA
Rfam family: Bacterial small subunit ribosomal RNA
Source: RNAcentral
GAUGAACGCUAGCGGCAGGCUUAACACAUGCAAGUCGAGGGGCAGCAUGAAGGUUAGCAAUAACCGUUGAUGGCGACCGGCGCAAGGGUGCGUAACGCGUGAGCAACUUGCCCUUAUCAGGGGGAUAACCGGUGGAAACGCCGACUAAUACCCCAUAGUAUUGGCUUUAGGCAUCUUUAGUCAAUUAAAGAAUUUCGGAUAAGGAUAGGCUCGCGUGACAUUAGCUAGAUGGCGGGGUAACGGCCCACCAUGGCUACGAUGUCUAGGGGUUCUGAGAGGAAGGUCCCCCACACUGGAACUGAGACACGGUCCAGACUCCUACGGGAGGCAGCAGUGAGGAAUAUUGGUCAAUGGUCUGACGACUGAACCAGCCAUUGCCGCGUGAAGGUCACGGCCCUAUGGGUCUUAAACUUCUUUUGUAAGGGAGCAAUAAGUCUCACGUGUGGGAUGAUGAGAGUACCUUACGAAUAAGCAUCGGCUAACUCCGUGCCAGCAG